ACUGAUGGUAUGGAGCUGCUGUAGCAGCAGUACAGAUUAAGUAAGACUCAAAGAUUUAUUCUUGAUUCUGUCACAAAUUAUCUGUCCAGGGAGCUGCUCUAUUUUGUGGGCUCCACAAAAACUGUCCUCUGGCCAUGAAAGGGUAGUGGGCACAGGCAGUUAAAAGCUCAGUCCUUCAUGUGCAGUGAUAUCGACAACCCUCCAGGAAUGCUUAGAGCCAAGGCUUAGAACUAAUGACUAAGCAAAAUAAAGCCCCACUACAGAAGCUUCCUUUAUAGAAGGGCAGUGAAGGGCACCUAACAAUUGGAUUUUAUGAAUUAAUACCCAUAAAGUUUCUGGAAGAGUGGGAGAGUUAUCUAAAUACUAAGUAGUGUUAAUAACAACUCAAGAAUGAAAGGUUAGAGAGCAUAAAGAGUUUUUCUUUGUACCUUGGUUCAAUCUUCUCUGCAGAAGAACUUCUCAUCAUGCUAUUCUGGACUUGCUGGAACUGCAAUCACAAAAGAAAGGGAGUCUUUGCUGAUGACUUGGAGUUAGCAGACACUUCGUGUGCUAUCACCUCAGGAAGCGCUUACUCACUGGGGGUGAAAGGAAUGCUUUGCAGGAAGCACAGCCAGAGAAGGGAACCAUAUUGACUAUGAAUCUCCUGGAGCAGAAGCCAUUUAUCCAUCCCUAAAGAGAACUCCUGCCAUGCCUUGUGUGCCAGCUGCCCUUCAGCCCAGCAAGAUACAAGUUCCCAUGGUGCUUCUUAAAGAGCCAGGCCGGGAGGCACCAACAGCUGCUCAUCCCUAAGGGAUCUGAUUUGUUUGUCUGGAGAGCUGCAAGUCUGAAGAAACCUCCAGGGAAUACUCAUUUGUUUUGAGGAUGCAGAGAACAGGAAGAGUCUGAUUCCUGGAGGAAGCCAACAAAUCCUUCACAAAUCCACUUCGUGCCUGUACAAGAUGUACACAGGAAAAUUUGCUUAUUGUGAUGCCCUCUCCUGGUUAAAAUAAAUCCUACUAGUUGUGUCCCUGUCCCUCCAGUGUCAAACACCUGUAGCUCAAAGCAGAAUGAAGCAUUUUGUGAGCUAAAAUUAAAAGCAUUUAAAAUGAUGGACAGUC
Parus major (Great Tit) is the source of this 1097-nucleotide long non-coding RNA. RefSeq lists it as uncharacterized. NCBI's taxonomy places the organism in Eukaryota, Metazoa, Chordata, Aves, Passeriformes, Paridae. The transcript is spliced from 3 exons. The record is from RefSeq and is a predicted model, not a curated record.